GACGAACGCUGGCGGCGUGCUUAACACAUGCAAGUCGAACGGAAAGGCCCUGCUUUUGUGGGGUGCUCGAGUGGCGAACGGGUGAGUAACACGUGAGUAACCUGCCCUUGACUUUGGGAUAACUUCAGGAAACUGGGGCUAAUACCGGAUAGGAGCUCCUGCUGCAUGGUGGGGGUUGGAAAGUUUCGGCGGUUGGGGAUGGACUCGCGGCUUAUCAGCUUGUUGGUGGGGUAGUGGCUUACCAAGGCUUUGACGGGUAGCCGGCCUGAGAGGGUGACCGGCCACAUUGGGACUGAGAUACGGCCCAGACUCCUACGGGAGGCAGCAGUGGGGAAUAUCGCACAAGGGGCGGAAGCCUGAUGCAGCAACGCCGCGUGCGGGAUGACGGCCUUCGGGUUGUAAACCGCUUUCGCCUGUGACGAAGCGUGAGUGACGGUAAUGGGAAAAGAAGCACCGGCUAACUACGU
RNAcentral lists this ribosomal RNA (467 nucleotides) under uncultured bacterium. RNAcentral's name for it is "partial 16S ribosomal RNA". It matches the Rfam family "Bacterial small subunit ribosomal RNA", at positions 28 to 506 of the family's 1533-position model. The record is from RNAcentral.